RNAcentral lists this ribosomal RNA (766 nucleotides) under bacterium EJ10-60. RNAcentral's name for it is "bacterial SSU rRNA". It matches the Rfam family "Bacterial small subunit ribosomal RNA", at positions 61 to 821 of the family's 1533-position model. The record is from RNAcentral.
GUCGAACGNCAGCACGGGGGCAACCCUGGUGGCGAGUGGCGAACGGGUGAGUAACAUAUCGGAACGUGCCCUGGAGUGGGGGAUAACUAGUCGAAAGAUUAGCUAAUACCGCAUACGAUCUACGGAUGAAAGUGGGGGAUCGCAAGACCUCAUGCUCGUGGAGCGGCCGAUAUCUGAUUAGCUAGUUGGUGGGGUAAAGGCCUACCAAGGCAUCGAUCAGUAGCUGGUCUGAGAGGACGACCAGCCACACUGGGACUGAGACACGGCCCAGACUCCUACGGGAGGCAGCAGUGGGGAAUUUUGGACAAUGGGCGCAAGCCUGAUCCAGCAAUGCCGCGUGAGUGAAGAAGGCCUUCGGGUUGUAAAGCUCUUUUGUCAGGGAAGAAACGGUUCGGGUUAAUACCUUGGGCUAAUGACGGUACUUGAAGAAUAAGCACCGGCUAACUACGUGCCAGCAGCCGCGGUAAUACGUAGGGUGCAAGCGUUAAUCGGAAUUAUUGGGCGUAAAGCGUGCGCAGGCGGUUGUGCAAGACAGAUGUGAAAUCCCCGGGCUCAACCUGGGAAUUGCAUUUGUGACUGUACGGCUAGAGUGUGUCAGAGGGGGGUAGAAUUCCACGUGUAGCAGUGAAAUGCGUAGAGAUGUGGAGGAAUACCGAUGGCGAAGGCAGCCCCCUGGGAUAACACUGACGCUCAUGCACGAAAGCGUGGGGAGCAAACAGGAUUAGAUACCCCUGGUAGUCCACGCCCUAAACGAUGUCUACUAGUU